UACGUAGGGUGCAAGCGUUGUCCGGAAUUAUUGGGCGUAAAGAGCUCGUAGGCGGUUGGUCGCGUCGGCUGUGAAAUCCCGGAGCUCAACUCCGGGUCUGCAGUCGAUACGGGCCGACUUGAGUGUUGCAGGGGAGACUGGAAUUCCUGGUGUAGCGGUGAAAUGCGCAGAUAUCAGGAGGAACACCGGUGGCGAAGGCGGGUCUCUGGGCAACAACUGACGCUGAGGAGCGAAAGCGUGGGGAGCGAACAGG
This 253-nucleotide ribosomal RNA is filed under the name uncultured bacterium. RNAcentral describes it as "partial 16S ribosomal RNA". It matches the Rfam family "Bacterial small subunit ribosomal RNA", at positions 524 to 776 of the family's 1533-position model. The record is from RNAcentral.